RNAcentral lists this ribosomal RNA (253 nucleotides) under uncultured bacterium. RNAcentral's name for it is "partial 16S ribosomal RNA". It matches the Rfam family "Bacterial small subunit ribosomal RNA", at positions 524 to 776 of the family's 1533-position model. The record is from RNAcentral.
UACGAAGGGUGCAAACGUUGCUCGGAAUUAUUGGGCGUAAAGCGCACGCAGGCGGCUUGGCAAGUCGGAUGUGAAAUCCCUCGGCUCAACCAAGGAAGUGCAUCCGAAACUGCCGAGCUUGAGUACUUAAGAGGAUCGCGGAAUUCCCGGUGUAGAGGUGAAAUUCGUAGAUAUCGGGAGGAACACCAGUGGCGAAGGCGGCGAUCUGGGAAGAUACUGACGCUGAGGUGCGAAAGCGUGGGGAGCAAACAGG